UACGGCGGGUGCGAGCGUUGUUCGGAAUUACUGGGCGUAAAGGGCGUGUAGGCGGGUAUAUAAGUCAGAUGUGAAAUACCUUAGCAUAACUUAGGAAGUGCAUCUGAAACUGUAUACCUUGAGUACGAUAGAGGAGAGUGGAAUUCCCAGUGUAGAGGUGAAAUUCAUAGAUAUUGGGAAGAACACCGGUGGCGAAGGCGGCUCUCUGGAUCGAUACUGACGCUGAUACGCGAAAGCGUGGGGAGCAAGCAGG
RNAcentral lists this ribosomal RNA (253 nucleotides) under uncultured bacterium. RNAcentral's name for it is "partial 16S ribosomal RNA". It matches the Rfam family "Bacterial small subunit ribosomal RNA", at positions 524 to 776 of the family's 1533-position model. The record is from RNAcentral.